Non-coding RNA from Equus caballus (horse), 15319 nucleotides. The record is from RefSeq and is a predicted model, not a curated record. Lineage: Eukaryota; Metazoa; Chordata; Mammalia; Perissodactyla; Equidae.
CCGAGGGGCUGUCAUGCGGGGCGCAGGUCUCCGCCCUCAGCUGCGCCCGGCGGUUCCGGCUCCACCCUCGGCCGCCGCCUCAGCCCCACCAUGGUGCUGGAGUCGGUGGUCGCGGACCUGCUGAACCGCUUCCUGGGCGACUAUGUGGAGAACCUGAACAAAUCGCAGCUGAAGCUGGGGAUCUGGGGCGGUGAUGUGGCUUUAGAUAAUCUACAGAUAAAAGAAAAUGCUCUGAGUGAAUUGGAUGUUCCUUUUAAAGUCAAGGCUGGCCAAAUUGAUAAACUAACUUUGAAGAUUCCUUGGAAGAACCUUUAUGGAGAAGCAGUUGUUGCGACCCUAGAGGGAUUAUACCUGCUUGUUGUCCCUGGAGCAAGUAUUAAAUAUGAUGCUGAAAAAGAAGAAAAAUCCUUACAAGAUAUUAAACAGAAAGAGCUAUCCCGAAUUGAAGAAGCCCUUCAAAAAGCAGCAGAGAAAGGCGCACAUUCAGGGGAAUUCAUAUAUGGCUUGGAAAACUUUGUUUACAAGGACGUCAAGCCUGGACGUAAACGUAAAAAGCACAAAAAACAUUUUAAGAAACCUUUUAAAGGUCUCGAUCGCUCAAAAGAUAAACCGAAAGAAGCCAAAAAGGAUACAUUUUUGGAAAAAUUGGCAACUCAAGUAAUUAAAAAUAUACAAGUAAAAAUCACAGACAUUCACAUUAAAUAUGAAGAUGAUGUCACUGAUCCAAAGCAGCCUCUUUCAUUUGGUGUCACACUGGGAGAACUUAGCCUAUUGACUGCAAAUAAACAGUGGACUCCGUGCAUAUUAAAUGAAGCAGAAAAAAUUAUAUACAAGCUUAUACGACUUGACAGUCUCAGUGCCUACUGGAACGUGAACUGCAGCGUGUCUUACCGGAGAUCAAGGGAACAGAUCUUGGAUCAGCUGAAAAGUGAAAUUCUUACAAGUAGCAAAAUACCCCCAAACCAUCAAUAUAUUUUCCAGCCAAUAUCAGCCUCUGCAAAACUCUACAUGAAUCCUUAUGCAGAAACAGAGCUCAAAACACCCAAACUUGAUUGGAACAUAGAAGUACAAAAUAUUGCCAUUGAACUGACUAAACCUCAGUACUUAAGUAUGAUUGACCUUUUGGAGUCAGUGGAUUAUAUGGUUAGAAAUGCUCCUUACAGGAAAUAUAAACCUUAUUUACCGCUUCAUACCAAUGGUCGACAAUGGUGGAAGUAUGCAAUUGAUUCUGUCCUUGAAGUUCAUAUAAGAAGGUAUACACAGAUGUGGUCAUGGAGUAACAUAAAAAAACACAGACAGUUGCUCAAGAGUUAUAAAAAUGCCUACAAAAACAAGCUAACCCAGACUAAAAUCUCCGAAGAAAUACAGAAACAAAUUCAGGAUUUAGAGAAGACUUUAGAUGUUUUUAACAUAAUUUUAGCAAGGCAACAAGCACAAGUUGAGGUGAUUCGAUCAGGGCAAAAAUUAAGGAAAAAGUCUGCUGACACAGGCGAGAAACGUGGAGGCUGGUUUAGUGGGUUUUGGGGUAAGAAGGAAUCUAGGAAAAAGGAUGAAGAAUCUUUGAUUCCUGAAACUAUUGAUGACCUUAUGACUCCAGAGGAAAAAGAUAAGCUCUUCACUGCUAUUGGUUAUAGUGAGAGCACCCACGACCUAACUUUACCCAAGCAGUAUGUUGCACAUAUAAUGACACUGAAGUUAGUAAGCACCUCUGUUACAAUAAGAGAGAACAAAAAUAUUCCAGAAAUACUAAAAAUUCAGAUAAUUGGCCUGGGCACCCAAGUAUCUCAGCGACCAGGAGCACAAGCACUUAAGGUAGAAGCAAAAUUAGAACACUGGUAUAUAACAGGUCUGAGACAGCAGGAUAUUGUACCAUCACUUGUGGCUUCAAUUGGUGAUACUGCAUCAUCCUUGCUUAAAAUUGAAUUUGAAACCAAUCCAGAGAAUAGUACUGCUGACCAGACUCUGAUUGUUCAGUCUCAGCCUGUGGAAGUCAUCUAUGAUGCUAAAACCAUCAAUGCAGUGGUUGAAUUCUUUCAGUCAGAUAAGGGAUUAGAUCUUGAGCAAAUAAAAUCAGCUACAUUGAUGAAGCUGGAAGAAAUUAAAGAGAGAACAGCUACAGGACUUACACAUAUUAUUGAAACACGAAAAGUCCUUGAUUUAAGGAUAAAUCUGAAGCCUUCUUAUCUAAUAGUUCCACAGACAGGUUUUCACCACAAAAAGUCAAAUCUUCUCAUUUUAGAUUUUGGUACAUUUCAGCUUAAUAGUAAAGAUCAAGGUUUGCAGAAGACUAGUAAUUCAUCUCUGGAAGAAAUAAUGGAUAAAGCAUAUGACAAGUUUGAUGUUGAAAUAAAAAGUGUGCAACUACUUUUUGCAAGAGCAGAGGAAAACUGGAAAAAGUGUCGAUUUCAGCAUCCAUCAACUAUGCAUAUAUUGCAACCCAUGGAUAUUCAUGUUGAGUUGUCCAAGGCAAUGGUAGAAAAAGACAUUAGAAUGGCCAGAUUUAAAGUAUCAGGAGGGCUUCCUUUGAUGCAUGUGAGAAUUUCUGACAAGAAGAUGAGAGAUGUGCUAUGUUUGAUUAACAGCAUACCCUUGCCACAGAUAUCAUCAGCACCGUCUCCAGAGAGACAGGUGUCCUCAAUUCCUAUUAUUUCAGAUAGGACUAAAGGCCUACUUGGCACUUCACUGUUGCUAGAUGGAGUGGAAUCAGAGUCUGAUGAUGAAUAUUUUGAUGCUGAAGAUGGAGACACCCAGCCCGGUAAAAGUAAGAAAGGAUCUGAACUAAAAAAAGCUGCAGAGGCACCAAAUGAGGAGCUCAUUAAUCUUCUACUAAAGUUUGAAAUUAAAGAGGUGGUUUUGGAAUUUACGAAACAAGAGAAAGAAGAAAAUACAAUUCUAGUGUUUAAUGUUACUCAGUUAGGAACAGAGGCUACAGUGAGAACAUUUGAUUUAACUGCUGUAUCUUAUUUAAAGAAAAUCAGCUUGGAUUACCAUGAAAUUCAAGGAUCCAAAAAGAAGCCCCUUCACUUGAUUAGCUCUUCUGACAAACCUGGAUUAGAUCUCUUAAAAGUGGAGUAUAUUAAGGCUGAUAAGAAUGGACCUAGUUUCCAAACUACUUUUGAAAAAACUGAACAAACAUUUAAGGUGGCUUUUUCAUCUUUAAAUCUGUUGAUGCAGACACAAGCUCUUCUCUCUUCUAUUAAUUACCUGACAACCAUUAUUCCAUCAGAUGGCCAAAACAUAGGUGAUACUAAGGAAGUACAAAUUUCAACUGAAAAUCAACAAAAAAAUUCGGCUCUGCAGAAAGUGAUUGUAUCCUCUAAAGAUAGUGACAUUAUUGACUUCAGGCUAUUUGCCAAGUUGAAUGCUUUCUGUGUCAUCAUUUGCGAUGAGAAGAACAAUAUUGCUGAAAUCAAGAUUCAAGGCCUCGAUUCCUCUCUUUCUCUUCAGUCGAGAAAACAGUCACUAUUUGCCAGACUGGAAAAUAUUGUUGUCACAGAUAUUGAUCCUAAUACAGUUCAUAAAAAAGCCGUGUCAAUAAUGGGAAAUGAAGUUUUUCGUUUUAACUUGGAUUUGUAUCCACAUGCUACUGAGGGGGAUGCCUAUACUGACAUGUCCAAAGUGGAUGGUGUGGUAUCACUGAACGUUGGCUGCAUUCAGAUUGUCUAUCUUCAUAAAUUCCUCAUGUCACUUCUGAACUUCCUGAACAAUUUCCAGACAGCCAAAGAGGCUCUGAGUGCUGCCACUGCCCAGGCUGCAGAAAAGGCUGCCACAAGUGUGAAAGAUCUUGCCCAGAGGAGUUUUCGUGUUUCUAUCAAUAUUGAUUUGAAAGCACCAGUUAUAGUCAUCCCGCAGUCUUCCAUUUCCACCAAUGCAGUCGUGGUAGAUCUUGGAUUAAUCAGAGUUCAAAAUCAGUUCAGUCUGGUGUCUGGUGAAGACUACUUAAACCCUCCAGUAAUUGAUAGAAUGGAUGUGCAGCUAACAAAGCUUAAGCUUUCUAGGACAGUGAUCCAGCCAGGCAUCUCCCAUCCUGAUAUUCAGCUAUUGUACCCAAUUAACUUGGAGUUUUCUGUAAAUCGGAAUCUAGCUUCCUCUUGGUACCACAAGGUACCUGUUGUGGAAAUUAAAGGACAUCUUGAGUCAAUGAAUGUUAGUCUAAAUCAAGAAGAUCUUAACCUUUUGUUUAGAAUACUAGCAGAAAAUCUUGGUGAGGCUACUGAAGACUUGAAUAAAGUGAAACCAGGAAUACAAAAGACAGGUGAACCUAAAGAGCCACUUGAAACCUCUGUGUCACAACAAGAUGUACGUGCUUUACAAAGUACUUUAACAGCUGGAGUGGAAGAAAUUAAAUCUGUAGACAUCAUUAAUAUGGUGCUCAAUUUUGAAAUCAAAGAGGUUGUGAUUACUUUGAUGAAAAAAGCAGAAAAGAAAGGAAGGCCUAUACAUGAACUAAAUGUCCUGCAGCUUGGAAUGGAAGCUAGAGUUAAAACUUAUGACCUGACUGCUCAAGCUUAUCUAAAAAAAAUUAGCAUGCGAUGCUUUGAGUUUGCUGACUCUAAAGGAGAACCUCUUCACAUUAUUAACUCUUCUAAUGUAACUGACGAACCCCUUCUGAAAAUGCUGUUGACAAAGGCAGACAGUGAUGGACCAGAAUUUAAAACCAUUCAUGAAAAUACCAAACAGAGACUAAAGGUUUCAUUUUCAUCCUUAGACUUAGUACUUCAUUUGGAAGCUUUACUCUCCUUCAUGGAUUUUGUAUCAUCUGCUAUUCCAUCCUCUGAACCUUCCUAUUCUGAGAAGGAAUCUGAGCUGAAACCACUUAUGGGGGAGUCCAGAAGUAUUGUUGUCAAAGCUGUAUCCAGCAGCACUUCUCAAGAUGAUGUGUUUGAUUUAAAGAUCAUAGCUGAAUUGAAUGCAUUUAAUGUCUUUGUCUGUGAUCAGAAGUGUAACAUUGCAGAUAUUAGAAUACACGGAAUGGAUGCCUCUAUUUCUGUGAAGCCAAAGCAGACUGACAUGUUUGCCAGACUUAAGGAUAUCAUAGUUACAAAUGUUGAUUUGCUGUCUAUUCACAAAAAGGCUGUCUCUAUUUUGGGAGAUGAAGUCUUUAGGUUCCAAAUGACUCUUUUUCCAGACGCUACAGAAGGAAAGGCCUAUGCUGAUAUGUCUAAAGUAGAUGGCAAACUUAGUCUCAAAGUGGGUUGUAUUCAAAUUGUUUAUGUUCAUAAAUUCUUCAUGUCUCUUUUGAACUUCCUCAACAAUUUCCAAACUGCCAAAGAAGCUUUGAGCGCAGCCACAGUCCAGGCUGCAGAAAGAGCUGCUUCCAGCAUGAAAGACUUGGCUCAAAAGAGUUUCCGCCUUUUGAUGGAUAUCAAUUUGAAAGCACCAGUUAUUAUCAUUCCUCAGUCUUCAGUGUCACCUAAUGCUGUUAUAGCAGAUCUGGGUUUAAUCAGAGUUGAAAACAAAUUUAGCUUAGUUUCUGUAGGACAUUAUUCUCUUCCCCCAGUCAUUGACAAAAUGAACAUCCAGCUCACUCAGUUGAAGCUGUCCAGAACUAUUUUGCAGGCUGGCUUGCCACAGCAUGACAUUGAAAUUUUAAAACCAGUCAAUAUGCUUUUGUCCAUUCAGCGAAAUUUAGCAGCAACAUGGUAUACGCAAAUUCCAGGGAUGGAGAUCAAAGGAAAACUAAAACCUAUGCAGGUUGCUCUCAGUGAAGAUGACUUAACAGUUUUAAUGAAAAUUUUGCUAGAAAAUCUUGGAGAAGCUUCUUCACAGCCAAGCCCUACGCAGUCUACCCAGGAGGCUGUAAGAGUAAGAAAAGAUGUUUCGAGUGGACCUGACCACCUCAAAGCACAAGAAGAUUUGCCAGACUCAGAGCUUUCUGUAGACCAGAAUGUUACUCUGCAAUUUGACUUUCACUUUGAAUCUCUUUCCAUUGUCCUUUAUAACAAUGAUGUCAACCAGGAAUCCAAACUUGCAUUUCAUAAUGACAACUUCCGGCUUGGAGAACUCAGACUACAUCUUAUGGCCUCCGCAGGGAAGAUGUUUAAGGAUGGCUCAAUGAAUGUUAGCAUUAAACUUAAGACAUGCACCCUUGAUGAUCUCAGAGAAGGCAUUGAGAGAGCAACAUCAAGAAUGAUUGAUAGGAAGAAUGACCAAGAUAACAACAGUUCUAUGAUCGAUAUAAGUUACAAACAAGGCAAAAAUGGAAGUCAUAUUGAUGCUGUUCUUGACAAGCUGUAUAUAUGUGCCAGUGUGGAAUUUCUGAUGACUGUGGCAGAUUUCUUUAUCAAAGCUGUGUCUCAGAGUCCAGAAAAUAUGGCAAAAGAAGCACAGAUUCCACUACGACAGACUGCCACAGCAAAACUCAGGAUAGACAAAGAUGACUCUUUAAAGCCAAAUAUGACUUUAAAGGCCAUGAUUACAGAUCCGGAAGUGGUGUUUGUUGCCAGCCUGACAAAGGCUGAUGCUCCUGCUCUGACAGCCUCAUUCCAGUGUGACCUCUCUCUGUCAACAUCCAAACUUGAACAGAUGAUGGAAGCUUCUGUGAGAGAUCUUAAAGUGCUCGCUUGCCCUUUUCUCAGAGAAAAGAGGGGAAAAAACAUUACCACAGUCUUACAGCCCUGUUCUUUAUUUAUGGAAAAAUGUACAUGGGCUUCAGGAAAACAAAAUAUAAAUAUUAUUGUUGAAGAAUUUAUAAUUAAGAUUUCACCCAUAAUUCUUAAUACUGUGAUGACAAUCAUGGCUGCUCUGUCUCCAAAGACAAAAGAAGAUGAAUCCAAAGAUACAUCUAAGGAAACAGAAAAUCUUUGGGGUGUAAAAUCUAUUAGUGAUUAUAAUUCUUGGUUUCUUGGUGUCGAUACGGCAACAGAAAUAACAGAAAAUUUCAAAGACAUUGACCGUCCAUUCAUAGAAGAAAAUUGUGCUGUUGUUGUAGAGUCAGUUCAAGUUACCUUAGAAUGUGGCCUUGGGCAUCGAACUGUACCUUUAUUAUUGGCAGAAUCUAAAUUUUCAGGAAAUAUUAAAAAUUGGACUUCUCUGAUGAGUGCUGCUGCUGACAUGACACUAGAGGUUCACUAUUACAAUGAGGUCCAUGCUGUUUGGGAGCCACUGAUCGAGAGAGUGGAGGGGAAGAAACAAUGGAAUUUAAGGCUUGAUGUAAAGAAGAACCCAGUCCAGGAUAAAAGUUUGAUGCCAGGAGAUGAUUUUGGUUUUAUUCCUGAGCCACAAACAGCAGUUCAUAUUUCUUCAGGAGAUACAAUGAAUAUAACAAUAUCCAAAAGUUGUCUUAAUGUUUUCAACAAUUUAGCAAAGGGUUUUUCAGAGGGCACUGCUUCUACUUUUGACUACUCUUUAAAAGACAGGGCUCCUUUUACAGUAAAAAAUGCUCUAGGUGUUCCCGUUAAGGUACAGCCCAAUCAUAAUCUCAGAGUAAUGGGCUCCCCUGAGAAAAGUGGUAUUUAUGAUGUUGAUGCUGGUCAGAAUUUGGAAUUGGAAUAUGCCAGCGUGGAACCUUCACGUCAAGGAAAACUAUCUAUAUUGAACCGUCAAGAAAGCUCCUUCUUCACUCUGACCAUUGUACCUCAUGGAUAUACAGAAGUUGGGAAAAUCCCUGUUGCCAGACCUGGGCGGCAAUUGUAUAAUGUCCGGAAUCCCAAUGCUACUCAUUCUGACUCAGUCUUGGUACAAAUUGAUGCAACUGAAGGGAAUAAAGUAAUCACCAUCCGCUCUCCUCUUCAGAUUAAAAACCAUUUCUCUGUUGCAUUCAUCAUUUAUAAAUUUGUUAAGAAUGUUAAGCUGUUGGAGCGCAUUGGAGUAGCCAGACCUGAAGAGGAGUUCCAUGUUCCUUUAGAUUCAUAUAGAUGUCAACUGUUUAUUCAGCCGGCUGGCAUCUUAGAGAAUCAGUACAAAGAAUCCACCACUUAUAUUUCCUGGAAGGAAGAACUUCACAGGAGCAGAGAAGUCAGAUGCAUGCUGCAGUGUCCAUCAGUAGAAAUCAACUUCUUACCUCUCAUGGUCAAUACGGUUGCUCUGCCUGAUGAAUUAACCUAUAUAAGUACACAUGGGGAAGACUGGGAUCCAGCUUACGUUAUUCAUCUUUAUCCUACUCUCACUUUGAGGAAUCUUCUCCCAUAUUCUCUAAGAUAUUUACUUGAGGGAACAGCAGAAACUCAUGAGCUAGCGGAAGGCAGUGCUGCUGAUGUUCUGCAUUCGAGAAUCAGUGGAGAAAUAAUGGAAUUAGUUCUGAUGAAAUAUCAGGGUAAAAAUUGGAAUGGACAUUUCCGUAUAUGUGACACACUUCCCGAGUUCUUUCUUGUGUGUUUUUCUUCUGACUCUACAGAAGUAAUGACACUCGACCUGUCAGUACAUGUCAGGCGAAUUGGCAGCCGGAUGGUGCUGUCUGUCUUUAGUCCCUAUUGGCUAAUCAACAAGACUUCUCGGGUUCUCCAGUAUCGUUCAGAAGAUAUUCAUGUGAAACAUCCAGCUGAUUUCAGGGAUAUUAUUUUAUUCUCUUUCAAGAAGAAGAACAUUUUUAGUAAAAAUAAGGUACAAUUAAAAAUUUCAACUAGUGCCUGGUCCAGUAGUUUUUCAUUGGAUACAGUGGGAAGUUAUGGGUGUGUGAAGUGUCCUGCCAACAAUAUGGAAUACCUGGUUGGUGUUAGCAUCAAAAUGAGCAGUUUCAAUCUUACUCGAAUAGUUACUCUGACUCCCUUUUGUACCAUUGCAAACAAGUCAUCGUUAGAACUAGAAGUUGGUGAAAUUGCAUCUGAUGGUUCAAUGCCAACUAAUAAGUGGAACUAUAUUGCUUCCUCAGAGUGCCUUCCAUUUUGGCCUGAAAAUUUGUCAGGCAAACUUUGUGUGCGAGUGGUGGGCUGUGAGGGAUCUUCCAAACCAUUCUUUUAUAACCGACAGGAUAAUGGCACUUUACUGAGUUUAGAAGAUCUGAACGGGGGUAUCUUGGUGGAUGUAAACACUGCUGAACAUUCCACUGUCAUAACCUUUUCUGAUUACCAUGAGGGAUCUGCACCUGCUCUGAUAAUGAACCACACACCAUGCGGCAUCCUCACAUAUAAACAGAGUGGGUCACAGGAAGAAGUAGAAUUACAGCCAAGACAAGCUCGACUUUUUGCCUGGGCAGAUCCUACUGGUACCAGAAAAUUGACAUGGAAAUAUGCAGCAAAUGUUGGGGAACACGAUCUGUUAAAGGAUGAAUGUGGACAGUUUGCAUAUGACGCAAACAUCCAGAUACACUGGGUAUCAUUCCUGGAUGGGCGCCAGAGAGUUUUGCUUUUCACUGAUGAUGUGGCCCUGGUUUCCAAAGCACUGCAAGCAGAAGAAAUGGAGCAGGCCAAUCAUGAGAUAACCUUUUCUCUUCACAGUCUGGGACUUUCACUGGUUAACAAUGAAAACAAGCAGGAAGUUUCAUAUAUUGGCAUAACCAGUUCUGGUGUUAUUUGGGAAAUGAAGCCAAAACGGAAAUGGAAGCCUUUUAGUCAAAAGCAGAUAAUCUUGUUGGAACAGUCCUAUAAGAAAUAUCAAGAAUCAAGAGGCCAUGGCUGGAUUAAACUAGACAAUAAUUUUGAGGUCAAUUUUGAUAAAGUUCCAAUGGAAAUGCGCCUCCCUUUUCAGUGCCCUAUAAAGCGAGAUUUUUUAUCAGGAAUUCAGAUUGAGUUUAAGCAGUCUCCUCACCAGAGAAGUUUAAGGGCCAGAUUGUAUUGGCUUCAGGUUGAUAAUCAGUUACCAGGUACAAUGUUCCCUGUUUUAUUUCAUCCUGUGGCCCCUCCAAAAUCUAUUGCUUUGGAUUCAGAGCCCAAACCUUUCAUUGAUGUGAGUGUCAUUACAAGAUUUAAUGAGUACAGUAAAGUCUUACAGUUCAAGUAUUUUAUGGUCCUCAUUCAAGAAAUGGCCUUAAAAGUUGAUCAGGGAUUUCUAGGAGCUAUUACUGCACUGUUUACCCCCGCAACAGACCCUGAAGCUGAAAGCAAACGGACAAAGUUAAUCCAGCAAGAUGUUGAUGCUCUAAACACAGAAUUAAUGGAGACCUCAAUGACUGAUAUGUCAGUUCUUAGUUUCUUUGAACAUUUCCAUAUUUCUCCUGUUAAGUUGCAUUUAAGUCUGUCUUUGAGUUCCGGAGGUGAAGAGUCAGACAAAGAAAAACAGGAAAUGAUUGCAAUUCAUUCUGUCAAUCUGCUAUUGAAAAGCAUAGGUGCUACCCUGACUGACGUGGAUGACCUUAUAUUCAAACUUGCUUAUUAUGAAAUUAAGUAUCAGUUUUACAAGAGAGAUCAGCUCAUGUGGAGUGUUUUUAGACACUACACUGAACAGUUCUUGAAACAGAUGUAUGUCCUUGUAUUGGGCUUAGAUGUUCUUGGAAACCCAUUUGGAUUAAUUAGAGGCCUGUCUGAAGGAGUUGAAGCUUUAUUCUAUGAACCCUUCCAGGGUGCUGUUCAAGGCCCUGAAGAAUUUGCUGAGGGGUUAGUGAUUGGAGUGAGAAGUCUCUUUGGACACACAGUAGGUGGUGCAGCAGGAGUGGUAUCUCGAAUCACUGGUUCUGUUGGAAAAGGUUUGGCAGCAAUUACAAUGGACAAGGAAUAUCAGCAAAAAAGAAGGGAAGAGAUGGGUCGACAGCCUAAAGAUUUUGGAGACAGCCUGGCCAGAGGAGGAAAGGGCUUCCUGCUUGGUGUUGUUGGUGGAGUGACUGGAAUAAUAACAAAACCUGUAGAAGGUGCCAAAAAGGAAGGAGCUGCUGGAUUCUUUAAAGGAAUUGGAAAAGGACUUGUGGGUGCUGUGGCUCGUCCAACUGGUGGAAUCAUAGAUAUGGCCAGCAGCACCUUCCAAGGAAUUCAGAGAGCAGCAGAAUCAACUGAGGAAGUGUCCAGCCUCCGCCCGCCUCGCCUGAUCCAUGAAGACGGCAUCAUUCGCCCAUAUGACAGACAGGAAUCCGAAGGCUGUGAUUUAUUUGAGCAAGAACUGGAAAUACAGGAAUAAAUGUUUCCUAAACUGCUACUUGAUUUCAUCCUUAAAAAUCAAAACAAACUGUGGUAUUAAUUGACUGUCUUUGAUUUAUUUAGAUUGAGAGUCAUUUUAAUGAAAUUUUCUUUACAACUCUCACCUCUGUCUGAACUUUUUAUCAUAGUGGCUUGAUGACAAAUAAAAAUGGUGGUAUUCCCGUUAAUACUGUACAGGAAUAAACGAUCAAUAUAAAAAAUUAAAGGAUGCAGGAAAUCAACUCUCUUCUCCAUUUGGUUGAGAAAGACUUUAUUGAGCUCAGAAGGACACACUUUUGCUAUCACUUUGAAAAUUUUCUCUUUUCUUAUAGUAUUCAUGUGCAUUUCACAAAAAGUUGAAAAAAGAAAAGGACAAUUAUGUCCUAUCUAUUGUGUGUUCUUUAUGUUUCUGAGUCCUAAUGAUGGAAUUACGUAGCUAUGUUUCACAAAUCACCCUAAAUUUAUUCAAGUUAUGAGACUGGAACAAUUAACUUGGGCAUAUGUUUUAAUAAUUGAAGUAUCAGUUGCUCUUGGUCUGUCCUUAGACCUCAAAUAAGAAUUGGCACAUGAAUUUUGAGAAUAUGUUCCUUAAUUUCUUUUUUCCUUUUUUAACCUCUUAGUACUCUUGGUAGAUAAUUGGCAGUUGUUUUAUAAUUAUGUACCUUCUCAGCCUUUAGCAUUUAUGCUUUUCAAAAAUUGAAUCUUCUUGUUGAUAUGCUUAUUUCACAAUUAGUAGCUUUAAUUAAUAUAAAUAGAAGUUGAACAUGUAUUUAGGCACAUUACUUAUGUGGCACUUAAUUUAUAGAUAUCUUUAUUUUUAAAGACCAAACUUUUUGCUUUUAAUUCCUUAAAGAGGAUUCAUUAUCUUAAUGAGAACAAAAAUAAAUAUAAAUUAUUUUGAAAUUAAUAUUCCCAUAGUCAAUUUCAAAAUAAGUUAUGUUUUGACUUCUCUUUUUUAAUAAAUGAUAGAGAUGUUCAAUUUGAUUUAGCAGCGUCCUAUCUAGCAACUUUCUUUUUUUCCCCAAAAUUGAAAGCAAAGUAUAAACUUAGAUUUAAUGUGUUAUCCAUUUGAAGAGGAUGAAACUGUUAACAAACUAUUCACUUGGAUUAUAUAUAUUUUUAAACUAUAGUUAUCAAAAAAUAAUUUGAAUGCUUCAUAUUUAAAACAAGCACUUUAAAGAAGAAAGAAGGACAUCCAAAGACCAGCCUAAAACUGUAGCUGACAAACUUUUCUUGUGCCUAGAUAAUUGAGGGUUGGCAAAAAUGCCACCGCACGUACAGUUUCUGUGAAAAUCAAGCACAAUACCUAAUUCAAGAUGCUGUCUUAAAUCAUCACUAAUAAUUACCCUUCCUUCUUAGGUAAAAGUAAUGAUUUUUAAUUUUCCUGGAUAUAUUGCAAUUUUAAUGAAACUUCACUUUUGGGAAAUCGUAUAACUUGUUAAAAUUUUUUCCUUAUUGUUUACUUUUUUUUUAGCUUUUUAUGUUAUAAACCUUUUUCUUGUGAUUUCCCUUUUUACAACUGCAUGUUCAUAAGCACAGAACUUCAAGAAACUUUAUUUUGGUUAAAUAUAGGUACCUUAUCUGAUUUAUUCGUUUUUGUUAAGAUAUGAGACAGCCCUUUAAACUUUAAUGUGUUAUCACAGUUACUGGAAGAAAUAGAAUGAUUGCACAUUAAUGAGAGAACUUGGUAAUUUUUUUCUGUGUGUGGCAGGGGUAGGCAUGGAUAAUUAAGAAACUUAGGCCUUUUCGUCCCUUGCCCAUCUUAGCUGUAAUCAGUCAGUUGGGUCUGAAAUGUUUUUUGCUUAUCCAGAUAAUGCUGGACAUGCCCAAGAAAUAAGACUUCUGUCCUUAAGGGACCAAGUAUAACAAAAACAUGUAAAUAUUAAAGAGAACUAGGGUUUAAAAUUAUGUCCUGCUAGCCCUUAUUGUAAUAUUGGUGUAUUCUAAAUAAUUUAUUUGGAAAUCUUUUGAUUUACCCCAUUUUCUUUUUUUCCUGAGUAUUGCUCUGUAUUCUUCAACACUAAGCUUUGAAAGUUACUAAAUCAAAUACUGUAUUUUCAUAGGAUAUACUCUUCUGCUUAUCCUUUAUUCUCCUAGGAUAAUUACAGGUUACACACACAUAUAUAUGUGUAUAAACACACAUGUAUAUGAUAUAUAGCCAGUUUUUAUUUAAUAUUCAUCUUGGUUCAUGUAAUUAUAAUCAUAGUAUUUGAAAUGGUGUUCCUUGCUUUUUCAUUUUAAUUAUAUUUUUACAUUUUCAUAGAAAUGCUUUAUUCUUAAUUCUUGCAUUACCAUCCUUUGAGAUAACCUUAUAUCACGUAUUUGGCCAUUCCCAGUUCUUGACAUUAAAGGUAUUUCUGUUAUUUUACUAGCAGUAAUAAUGCUGUGAUAAAUAUCAUUAUACAUGUUGCUUUUUUGUAUCUUGUGUUAUUUUCUUAGAAUCUACUUGAAAAAAUUUAAUGCUUUUGCUAAAUAUUGUAAAUUCUUCAAGGUGUAUUUUGGGAAGGGAGAGUGAAUAUUUUAACUAAUCUCGUUUCCUGCUGCCAUCAGUGACUGAAUAUCUUAAUCCAAAUCUCAGAGUAUAGUGGAUUUCUAUAGAAAUAAGGUUUCUAUAGUGUAUUAUGAUGAUGAAUUUUACUUUAAGAGCUUUUAAUGGUUUAAACCGCCAUAGCCUGAUAACUAAUGAAAAUGCGUACAAGAUGGAAAGUGGGUAGUAUGUCUUGUACAUUGCAUCUCAGAUCUAAAUAUUUUACCAUAUUUAAAUUUCAAAGAUGAAAAUAAACGUACUAGGCUAUUAUAUUCAUUUCCUGUUUUCUCUUUAAAGAAAUUAAGGUAUAAAUGUUAAAAGAUUUUAGCUAAUUCACAUAGGCAAGAUGUGAAGCAAGUGACUAUUAAACUCCACCUCUCUGAGACCCAUUCUGAAGAUGAGACCCCAGUUCUUUGGGGAUUCAUCUUUCUUAUUCAUGUCUUUUUGUAAUUGUCAAGGAAUGACUGGGAACUAAGGAUCUUUAAAAAAUGUGUAUUUAAGCAUUGAGAUAAUAAGAAGUGUGCUUUCUCUGCUUGUGAUUAUUGAUUAUAUUAUCUUUUUCAUAAUAGUGGUGUUGUGUUCCUGAUUAUAAAAUGUUAAUGUAUUAUUUAUUAGGUAUGUUUAUGUUCCGUAUUGUCGUAUAUAACUCAUCUUUAAUCGUGCAUUAUAAUGUCAAUAAUAAUAUUCAUAAGCAUUCAUUAUAAAAAAUAACUUUGGGUUUUUAAUGUAUGUUGAUUAAUUCAAGUCACAAUAGUUUUGAGAUAGUUGAGAAAGAAAAGAAAUGUAUUUUAAUGUACUACUAUUUAUACUUGAAUUAUUUUAUGCUUGUAAUUGCCUUUAGCAAUAAAUUGUGCCGUUAAUUUUAAAUUUUAGAAAUUGUUCGUGUUUGUAUUAAUAUUGUCAUUACAUUUUUUUCCUCUCAGGAAUUUAAAUUUGAUACAUACAUGUUUUUCUCAUGUAUGUUUUAUCUGUAAGACCAAAUAUUCAAAAACAUUAAAUAUCAGUUAUCUUGGAAUGUUAUUAUGUGUAUAUCUACCUCUGUGUAAAUCAGUGGUUCUUAACCUUUGAGAAGGAUCACAGACCCCUUCAAAAAAUCUGAUGAAUAAUAUGAACCGUCCUCUGAAAAAAGUUGAAAAGCCACAUUUUCUAAAUUUUAUAUUCUAUGUUAGGUGGUUCAUAGACCUCCCAAAGUCCUUCCCUGGACCCCAGGUUAAGAACCCCUGUAAUGUUAAUGUUGCAGUUUUGUAUUAGCAUGUAUUCAUAUUCCAUUAGUGAAAACGUGUGAUUGUUUCUGGUAGAUACUUUUAAAUUUCUGAGUUCUCACAGAAUGAAAUGCCUUUUACCAGAAGGUCACUUAGUAAUCAUUUGAUAUGUCUGCCUUUAGGGCAGAGCGGGAGUUAAUGUAUGAACAUGCUGUGAAGAUUUUUUCAGUUUCAUGUGCCAGUAUGUAGAAUUGUGCUUUUGUUUCUAAUAAUGUUUUUCCUAACUAGCACUGUUAUUAUAAUUAGCUAAUAUACAGUAUUGGAAAUACUAUUUGGAGGCAUGUACUACCCAAACCUUGAGUUUUGUUUUCUUUUCAGAAUCAUAUCAAAAAGUUAGAAGGAGAGAUCUACCGAUACCACUGUGCUAUUCCUGGAAACAAGAAGACAAUCCUUAUGGUUACUAACAGGCGAGUGUUGUGUAUAAAGGAAGUUGAAAUCCUAGGCUGUAUGUCCAUAGACUGGCAGUGUCCAUUUGAAGAUUUUGUAGUUCCUCCUAGUGUCAGUGGAAAUCUGCUACAAAUUUCGGUUAAGGAGCAGGGACUGUUCCA